GGACAGACUCCAGGGGGGCAGGUCAGGACUGCAGGCAUGAAGGUGGCGCUCGAACCCAUGAGCUGGCAAAGCGGGGGAGGUGGCCUGCUGCGAGCAUGUGGGACGGGAAGAGAAGAGGGUAACGGGUGGGACCUGGAGUUCUUGGAAAGGACAGGGUGUCCUCAUGAGGAAGUACUCUGAGGGGUGAAGGCAGUUGGCUUGGUGAGGCUGACGCUCAGGGGAAAGAAGGUUCUGGGCCGGAGCUACGGGAGGUGUCCUUUAGGGAGCAGUAGGAGGUAUGAGAGCAGGAGAAAUAGACUAGAAAAUGUAGUCUUUGUAUCUAGAGCAUUCCUUCUGGUAACAGAUGUGGUCAGCAACUCGGUCGCCAGAGGCCAAGAUAAUGGGGAGAUACCAUUCCCAAAGAAGAAGAAGGCGGGGUGACGUGCAGGGGCGAUGUUUAAACCCGGGAGGUGAGGAUACGAAGACUAAACGUUUCGUCCAGGCUGGACGUAGGUUCCCUUUGGAGGAAGCCUACCAAAGGGGUGAUGCCUCUCGCCCUCCCCCGCCCCCAUGACCCCGCCAGGCAACUGUGACUGUGCACAAAGUGGCACUGAGCUACCGCGAGGCAGGGAGAGUCACGGCCCGGUGUAUGGUCUCUUUUCUCUGGACCAGGCCAAGCCCUCUUUUCAGCUGGACCUGGGGUCCUGGCCUUCCUACGGGAGCCUGACAUCUAUAAGAACCUCACGAGCAACGUCUCCUUGCUGUCAUGGCCGCUGCCCCACCUCCUUCAAGCGUCCCAUGCGGAGGACAACGCGGAAGCAAGAUAUUCCGCUCCGGAGGACAAGACGGCACUGUGGACGUAUCGCCUUUCCAGAGCAGGCUGGAGAUAAAGACCCCGAUCGCUUUUCCCUGAACGGGCUUCACAUCAUUCAUCAAAGGCUAUCGCAGACCUCCGGGGACUGUGCUGUCACCAAGAUACCUUGUGGUGCAACCGAGCUUGAGAACCGAGUUUGCGAAAACAUCACCAAGGUCGGAAAGAGACCCCCUCGGAAAGAUCCCCCCACCCCCCACCCACCACCCCCGCCCCCAACCCGGCGGCCGCGGGCUCGAGGGGCUGGAUCACAGCAGUAAUGUUAAGGGCUCUUUAUUAUUCAAAAAAUAAAUAACAAGAUAAUCACAAGUUCACUCUGGAAACAAUGGAGCCUGCAGGUAGAUACGAGAGAUUUCCUUUAAAUACAGUCAUUUCGGGAGGAGGAGUGGGCAGGCUGAGAGCGGCUGCCUCUGCUCUCUUCCUCCCACCUACAGUGGUGGAGACGGGACAGGGUUGAAAUAAGAGAACCGAGUAGUAACAGCCUGACUGUGUGCGGAUGAGGGGGGC
This is a long non-coding RNA of Lynx canadensis (Canada lynx), 1357 nucleotides long. RefSeq lists it as uncharacterized. The record is from RefSeq and is a predicted model, not a curated record. NCBI's taxonomy places the organism in Eukaryota, Metazoa, Chordata, Mammalia, Carnivora, Felidae. The transcript is spliced from 2 exons.